This 394-nucleotide ribosomal RNA is filed under the name uncultured bacterium. Its description in RNAcentral is "bacterial SSU rRNA". It matches the Rfam family "Bacterial small subunit ribosomal RNA", at positions 29 to 426 of the family's 1533-position model. The record is from RNAcentral.
AUUAAACGCUGGCGGCAUGCCUUACACAUGCAAGUCGAACGGCAGCACGGGGGCAACCCUGGUGGCGAGUGGUGGACGGGUGAGUAACACAUCGGAACGUGCCCUGGAGUGGGGGAUAACGCAGCGAAAGCUACGCUAAUACCGCAUAUUCUGUGAGCAGGAAAGCAGGGGAUCGCAAGACCUUGCGCUUUGGGAGCGGCCGAUGUCGGAUUAGCUAGUUGGUGGGGUAAAGGCUUACCAAGGCGACGAUCCGUAGCGGGUCUGAGAGGAUGAUCCGCCACACUGGGACUGAGACACGGCCCAGACUCCUACGGGAGGCAGCAGUGGGGAAUUUUGGACAAUGGGCGGAAGCCUGAUCCAGCCAUGCCGCGUGAGUGAAGAAGGCCUCGGUUGU